UACGUAGGGGGCAAGCGUUGUUCGGAAUCACUGGGCGUAAAGCGCACGUAGGCGGCUCUUUAAGUCAGAGGUGAAAUCCCAAGGCUCAACCGUGGAACUGCCUUUGAUACUGGGGAGCUUGAGUCCGGGAGAGGUGAGUGGAACUGCGAGUGUAGAGGUGAAAUUCGUAGAUAUUCGCAAGAACACCAGUGGCGAAGGCGGCUCACUGGCCCGGUACUGACGCUGAGGCACGAAAGCUGGGGGAGCAAACAGG
This 253-nucleotide ribosomal RNA is filed under the name uncultured bacterium. RNAcentral describes it as "partial 16S ribosomal RNA". It matches the Rfam family "Bacterial small subunit ribosomal RNA", at positions 524 to 776 of the family's 1533-position model. The record is from RNAcentral.